RNAcentral lists this small RNA (550 nucleotides) under Pongo abelii (Sumatran orangutan). RNAcentral's name for it is "processed transcript". The record is from RNAcentral. Lineage: Eukaryota; Metazoa; Chordata; Mammalia; Primates; Hominidae.
GGCGCUGCUGGCUCCAGGCCGCCCUCCGGAUCCGAUCCUGCGAAUGGUUUUGGCCACAUCUUCAUGUAGGACCUACUGCCUAUCCCGUCGGCCGCGGCUGGGCUUCAUCACCAGGCCUCCUCACAGAUUCCUGUCCCUUCUGUGUCCCGGACUCCGGAUACCUCGACUGUCAGUACUUUGUGCUCAGCCCAGGCCCAGAGCCAUGGCUAUCUCCUCUUCCUCCUGCGAACUGCCCCUGGUGGCUGUGUGCCAGGUAACAUCGACGCCAGACAAGCAACAGAACUUUAAAACAUGUGCUGAGCUGGUUCGAGAGGCUGCCAGACUGGGUGCCUGCCUGGCUUUCCUGCCUGAGGCAUUUGACUUCAUUGCACGGGACCCUGCAGAAACGCUACGCCUGUCUGAACCACUGGGUGGGAAACUUUUGGAAGAAUACAGCCAGCUUGCCAGGGAAUGUGGACUCUGGCUGUCCUUGGGUGGUUUCCAUGAGCGUGGCCAAGACUGGGAGCAGACUCAGAAAAUCUACAAUUGUCACGUGCUGCUGAACAGCAAA